CGAAUGUCCAAGAUGACUGAUUAUGGAUCCCCGAAUCGUCGAAGCUGGAAAUGAUGAUAUAGCGCUGAACUGACAAGGAGACGUUUAGUCGUCUAGUGUGAGGGUUUGGAGGGGUUGUACCACGGAGACGCUUAAAACUAGAAAGAUCUUCGGUUUUUAAGCACACAGCCGUUGAGGGGAUGUAAUUCUGGAUCUGGAAAGUGAUUUUAGUCGAGUCAGCAUUUGUGCUGCUGUUUAAUGGAAGCUUGGAACAGAACUCUAAUAGACGCUCAUCCCUGUGUAGUGAUAACUCUGUCCCGGAUGAUCCCAGUCAGUCGGAUGUUUAAUAAUCAGAGUUUUGACAUGCUCACUUCCUGCUCACACAUCGGGGUCUGUGUUACACUUCCAGCAGUGGUCCCCAGUCAGCGUUGGAACAUGCUGGAAUGUGUGCACCCCGCCGCCCCCAGCCUUGCAUGAGCUUGGCCUGAAGUUACAACGAGACCCGUCGAGGCCCCGGGCCAGCACAUCUGGAAGUGUGCUCCAGUCUCGGCCAUUCAUGUUAUGAUGUGCAGUGCAGAUCCCCUUUGCUCAUCUUUAGUGAUUAUACCAGAGCAUUAUAAAAGUGCUAAAAAGAAAGAUUUUGUAAAAAUGAUCUUUCUACUGGUGUUGGAGUGUUGUUAUAUAUCUGUGGUCGUCCAUAUCAUUUGAAUACUGGCUAAACAUGGCUUAUCCAUUCAUUUCAACAAUUUAAUUUCAAGAAUUUGGCUGUAAGGGACAACACAUAGGGAAGAACAGGAAUAGAUUGUUCUAAUAUUGAUUUGAUUUAUGUUCUCUGGCACAUAUUAUUUCCCAGAAGAAAAGGAUUUUUUAAAAAAAUGGUAAAUAUUUAGGU
Long non-coding RNA from Triplophysa dalaica, 871 nucleotides. RefSeq lists it as uncharacterized. The record is from RefSeq and is a predicted model, not a curated record. The transcript has 3 exons. NCBI's taxonomy places the organism in Eukaryota, Metazoa, Chordata, Actinopteri, Cypriniformes, Nemacheilidae.